UGGGGAAUAUUGGACAAUGGGCGAAAGCCUGACCCAGCAACGCCGCGUGAAGGAUGAAGUAUUUCGGUAUGUAAACUUCGAAAGAAUAGGAAGAAUAAAUGACGGUACUAUUUAUAAGGUCCGGCUAACUACGUGCCAGCAGCCGCGGUAAUACGUAGGGACCAAGCGUUGUUCGGAAUCACUGGGCGUAAAGCGCACGUAGGUGGGCAGUUAAGUCAGGGGUGAAAGCCCGAGGCUCAACCUCGGAAUUGCCUCUGAUACUGGCUGUCUAGAGUUCGAGAGAGGUGAGUGGAAUUCCUAGUGUAGAGGUGAAAUUCGUAGAUAUUAGGAAGAACACCGGUGGCGAAGGCGGCCCACUGGAUCGGUACUGACGCUGAGGUGCGAAAGCGUGGGGAGCAAACAGGAUUAGAUACCCCAGUAGUCCCUGAGCGGGCUGGCAAGGCGCAU
This 447-nucleotide ribosomal RNA is filed under the name uncultured bacterium. RNAcentral's name for it is "bacterial SSU rRNA". It matches the Rfam family "Bacterial small subunit ribosomal RNA", at positions 355 to 825 of the family's 1533-position model. The record is from RNAcentral.